Molecule: ribosomal RNA, 253 nt
Filed under: uncultured bacterium
Lineage: Bacteria
Description: partial 16S ribosomal RNA
Rfam family: Bacterial small subunit ribosomal RNA
Source: RNAcentral
GACGAACCGUCCAAACGUUAUUCGGAAUCACUGGGCUUACAGAGUUCGUAGGCGGUCUGGAAAGUUGGGUGUGAAAUCCCUCGGCCUAACCGAGGAACUGCGCUUGAAACUACCAGACUCGAGGGAGAUAGAGGAAAGCGGAACUGAUGGUGGAGCGGUGAAAUGCGUUGAUAUCGGAAGGAACGCCGGUGGCGAAAGCGACGUACUGGACCUCUUCUGACGCUGAGGCGCGAAAGCUAGGGGAGCAAACGGG